GUGGGGAAUAUUGGACAAUGGGCGAAAGCCUGAUCCAGCCAUGCCGCGUGUGUGAAGAAGGUCUUCGGAUUGUAAAGCACUUUAAGUUGGGAGGAAGGGCAGUAAGUUAAUACCUUGCUGUUUUGACGUUACCGACAGAAUAAGCACCGGCUAACUUCGUACCAGCAGCCGCGGUAAUACGAAGGGUGCAAGCGUUAAUCGGAAUUACUGGGCGUAAAGCGCGCGUAGGUGGUUUUGUAAGUUGGAGGUGAAAUCCCCGGGCUCAACCUGGGAACUGCCUCCAAAACUGCAUGACUAGAGUACGGUAGAGGGUAGUGGAAUUUCCUGUGUAGCGGUGAAAUGCGUAGAUAUAGGAAGGAACACCAGUGGCGAAGGCGACUACCUGGACUGAUACUGACACUGAGGUGCGAAAGCGUGGGGAGCAAACAGGAUUAGAUACCCGAGUAGUCC
This 450-nucleotide ribosomal RNA is filed under the name uncultured bacterium. RNAcentral's name for it is "bacterial SSU rRNA". It matches the Rfam family "Bacterial small subunit ribosomal RNA", at positions 354 to 796 of the family's 1533-position model. The record is from RNAcentral.